GCCUGGGUGGCUCAGCUGGUUAAGCAUCUGAUUUCAGCUCAGGUCAAGAUCUCAUGGUCCGUAGGUUCAAAUCCCAUGUCAGGCU
This 85-nucleotide transfer RNA is filed under the name Felis catus (domestic cat). It matches the Rfam family "tRNA". From Rfam's summary of the family: Transfer RNA (tRNA) molecules are approximately 80 nucleotides in length. Their secondary structure includes four short double-helical elements and three loops (D, anti-codon, and T loops). Further hydrogen bonds mediate the characteristic L-shaped molecular structure. tRNAs have two regions of fundamental functional importance: the anti-codon, which is responsible for specific mRNA codon recognition, and the 3' end, to which the tRNAs corresponding amino acid is attached (by aminoacyl-tRNA synthetases). tRNAs cope with the degeneracy of the genetic code in two manners: having more than one tRNA (with a specific anti-codon) for a particular amino acid; and 'wobble' base-pairing, i.e. permitting non-standard base-pairing at the 3rd anti-codon position. Lineage: Eukaryota; Metazoa; Chordata; Mammalia; Carnivora; Felidae. The record is from Rfam by way of RNAcentral.